Non-coding RNA from Acanthosepion pharaonis, 114 nucleotides. Lineage: Eukaryota; Metazoa; Mollusca; Cephalopoda; Sepiida; Sepiidae. The record is from the annotation of a GenBank genome assembly.
UUACGGCCACAUCACGUUGAAACACCUGUUCCCGUAAUAUCACCGAAGUUAAGCAACAUCGAGCCCAGUCAGUAUCUAGAUGGGUGAUUGCUUCGGAAUACCAAGUACUGUAAG